AUGUGGUGUAGAACGAAAAAGCCCUUGCAGCAAGAACUUUUGGAAAUAGAAUCAAGUAUCAAUCAGAUUCAGCAGCUACCUCUACAGCAGCAAAACCAUACUUUGGAAAGUUCUCUCACUCUUAGAUAUGAACAAACUCUCUCUAAGCUUAAUCAGUUUUACAAGCAGAGAAGUAAAAAGGGUUGGGCCACUGUUGGCGACCAUAAUACCAAGUUUUUCCAUCAGGCUGUGAUCAAAAGAAGGAAAAGGAAUAAUGUUUGUUCCAGUAAGGAUGAAAAUGAUGUGCUUCAUCUCAAACCUAGUGCUGUCACUAAUACCUUUGUCAACUAUUUUAGAUACAUUUUCUCUUCGCCUAACAAUAACACUGCAAGGCCUUUACUCGCUACUCAUUUUCCCAACAACUCUUUGGAUCCCACUUAUUCUAUUCCAGAUAAGCAUGAAGGCUUGCAGAUUCUCAAAGAGAUGAAGUUAAAUGCUUCUCCGGGUCCAGAUGGAUUUAAUGUUGAAUUUUAUUUGGCGGCUUGGGAUUGGAUAGGGGAGGAAAUCACUCAACUUGUGAUUAAAUUUUAUGAAACAGGUGUUUUGCCUCCUGACAUUAAUGACACCAAUAUUGCUCUCAUCCCGAAAAAGUUAGUUCCUCAAGUUCCCAUGGAUUAUCGUCCCAUUAGCCUUUGUAAUGUUGUUUAUAAAAUAAUUGCCAAAUAUUUAGCUAAUAAGAUUAAUCCUCUUCUUCUAGAUAUAGUCAUCCUGCUCAGCAAGCUUUUAUUAAGGGUAGAAGAAUUAGUGAUGAUAUUAUUAUUGCUCGAGAGUUUACUCACUCUUUCUCUCUUAAAUCAUGGAAACACCAUGCUUUUAUGCUUAAAAUAG
This 867-nucleotide ribosomal RNA is filed under the name Triticum aestivum (bread wheat). Its description in RNAcentral is "partial small subunit ribosomal RNA". The record is from RNAcentral. Lineage: Eukaryota; Viridiplantae; Streptophyta; Magnoliopsida; Poales; Poaceae.